GAUGAACGCUGGCGGCGUGCCUAAUACAUGCAAGUCGAGCGAACGGACGCGAAGCUUGCUUCUCUGAUGUUAGCGGCGGACGGGUGAGUAACACGUGGAUAACCUACCUAUAAGACUGGGAUAACUUCGGGAAACCGGAGCUAAUACCGGAUAAUAUUUUGAACCGCAUGGGUCAAAAGUGAAAGACGGUCUUGCUGUCACUUAUAGAUGGAUCCGCGCUGCAUUAGCUAGUUGGUAAGGUAACGGCUUACCAAGGCAACGAUGCAUAGCCGACCUGAGAGGGUGAUCGGCCACCCUGGAACUGAGACACGGUCCAGACUCCUACGGGAGGCCGCAGUAGGGAAUCUUCCGCAAUGGGCGAAAGCCUGACGGAGCAACGCCGCGUGAGUGAUGAAGGUCUUCGGAUCGUAAAACUCUGUUAUUAGGGAAGAACAUAUGUGUAAGUAACUGUGCACAUCUUGACGGUACCUAAUCAGAAAGCCCCGGCUAACUACGUG
This 497-nucleotide ribosomal RNA is filed under the name uncultured bacterium. RNAcentral's name for it is "partial 16S ribosomal RNA". It matches the Rfam family "Bacterial small subunit ribosomal RNA", at positions 28 to 507 of the family's 1533-position model. The record is from RNAcentral.